Molecule: unclassified non-coding RNA, 641 nt
Filed under: uncultured Lactarius
Lineage: Eukaryota; Fungi; Basidiomycota; Agaricomycetes; Russulales; Russulaceae
Description: sequence contains ITS1, 5.8S rRNA gene and ITS2
Rfam family: 5.8S ribosomal RNA (bases 179-332)
Source: RNAcentral
CAUACUCGUGCACGCCCGAGUGUGUCUCCUCACAUAAUCAUCCAUCUCUCCCUUUGUGCAUCUCCGCGUGCGCACCCCCCUUGGGAUCAUCUCGUAGGUGGCUCGCGUUUUCUCACAUAAACCCCCCUUUUAAAAGAUGUAUAAUGACCUCAUUUAUGCGCCAACCCGCAAUCAAUACAACUUUCAACAACGGAUCUCUUGGCUCUCGCAUCAAUAAAGAACGCACCUAAAAGCGAUACAUAAUGUGAAUUGCACAAUUCAUUGCAUCAUCGAAUCUUUGACCACACCUUGUGCCCCCUGUUAUUCCGAGGGGGACACCCGUUUGAUUGUCGUGAAAACCUCAACCUCCUUGGUUUCUUCUGGAGACCGAAGCAAGCUUGGACUUUGGAGGCCUUUGCUGGCACCUCUCGCCAGCUCCUCUUAAAUGAAUUAUCUGGGUCCUCUUUGCUGAUCCACGACGUGUGAUAAGAUGUUUCCAUGUCUUGGUUCUGGACUCUGUCACCUUUGGGACCCGCUUCUAACCGUCUUCAACCUUGCGUUGAGACAACGAUCUAGAAUGUCUCCCUUCUCGGGAAGCUCCCUCGACCCCACGAACCCUUGACCUCAAAUCGGGUGAGACUACCCGCUGAACUUAAGCAUAU